GACGAACGCUGGCGGCGUGCUUAACACAUGCAAGUCGAACGAUGAUCUCCCGCUUGCGGGGGUGAUUAGUGGCGAACGGGUGAGUAAUACGUGAGUAACCUGCCCUUGACUCUGGGAUAAGCCUGGGAAACCGGGUCUAAUACUGGAUACUACUUCCUGCCGCAUGGUGGGGGGUGGAAAGGGUUUUACUGGUUUUGGAUGGGCUCACGGCCUAUCAGCUUGUUGGUGGAGUAAUGGCUCACCAAGGCGACGACGGGUAGCCGGCCUGAGAGGGUGACCGGCCGCACUGGGACUGAGACACGGCCCAGACUCCUACGGGAGGCAGCAGUGGGGAAUAUUGCACAAUGGGCGGAAGCCUGAUGCAGCGACGCCGCGUGAGGGAUGACGGCCUUCGGGUUGGAAACCUCUUUCAGCAGGGAAGAAGCCACAAGUGACGGUACCUGCAGAAGAAGCGCCGGCUAACUACGUG
RNAcentral lists this ribosomal RNA (469 nucleotides) under uncultured bacterium. RNAcentral describes it as "partial 16S ribosomal RNA". It matches the Rfam family "Bacterial small subunit ribosomal RNA", at positions 28 to 507 of the family's 1533-position model. The record is from RNAcentral.